UCCACCAGGGCUUCGUGUCCCCCAUCCGAAGGCUGGUGUUCCCGAAGGCUGCACGCCAGGCCGCCUUCAAAAGCAAUGUCAGCCGCAGGCCCCUGCACUCUAUGCCUCUUUAUCCCCCUGACUACCUCAUCGACCCCCACAUCCUGCUGUGUGACUACCUGGAGAAAGAGGUCAAGGUGAGCACGGGACAAAGGGGGUAGGCAGGUGGGCUUGGAGGGACACCAAGCUCCGCCACACCCUGUGGUACAUGAAGGAAGCCUCACUGCCUCGGGCUGCACAUCCUCGGCAGGUGUCACCCACCCGCUGAGCCCCCGUGGGAGUUUCUGUCCCAACAUGGGGCUCAGAACCCACCCCCACAGGAGACUGAGUGGGAAACUGUGCUGUGUUCCCAGAAGCUCAACCUACUCAUGGGAUUUUCGUCUGCAGACUCCCUGCUUAUUCAGUGUCCAAGAGCAAGGCUGGGCGUGUGGCUUGGUGGUAAAGCGCUCGCCCGGCAUUCUGGAGGCCCCAGGCUGCACAUCCAGCACUGGAGGCAGGUCUGGGGGCGUGGAGGGUGGAGACAGCCGUAAGAUGGACUCCUACUACUCAAAAGCUUCCAUUUUAGAAGCACUGUGAAGGAGCUUUGGGUAGGUUAGCAGGUCUCCAUUAGCCGAAGAUUGGUGUGGAGUAGGAUUAAGGUAAUGAACAGGCUACUUCGGCAAAUUUGAAUUGCAGAUGAGCAGGGAUUAUUCCUCUAGCACAAACAUGCUCCAAAUGUUAAACAGAACUAAAUAGGUACCAAAAAAAAAAAAAAAAAA
This 797-nucleotide long non-coding RNA is filed under the name Rattus norvegicus (Norway rat). RNAcentral's name for it is "long non-coding RNA NONRATT018758". The record is from RNAcentral. Lineage: Eukaryota; Metazoa; Chordata; Mammalia; Rodentia; Muridae.